GACGAACCGUGCGAACGUUGUUCGGAAUCACUGGGCUUAAAGGGCGCGUAGGCGGGCGACCAAGUCAGGGGUGAAAUCCCGCAGCUCAACUGCGGAAGUGCCUUUGAUACUGGUUGUCUCGAGGGAGGUAGGGGCAUGCGGAACUUCCGGUGGAGCGGUGAAAUGCGUAGAUAUCGGAAGGAACGCCGAUGGCGAAAGCAGCGUGCUGGACCUCUUCUGACGCUGAGGCGCGAAAGCCAGGGGAGCAAACGGG
This 253-nucleotide ribosomal RNA is filed under the name uncultured bacterium. RNAcentral describes it as "partial 16S ribosomal RNA". It matches the Rfam family "Bacterial small subunit ribosomal RNA", at positions 524 to 776 of the family's 1533-position model. The record is from RNAcentral.